GACGAACGCUGGCGGCGUGCUUAACACAUGCAAGUCGAACGGAAAGGCCCUGCUUUUGUGGGGUGCUCGAGUGGCGAACGGGUGAGUAACACGUGAGUAACCUGCCCUUGACUUUGGGAUAACUUCAGGAAACUGGGGCUAAUACCGGAUAGGAGCUCCUGCUGCAUGGUGGUGGUUGGAAAGUUUCGGCGGUUGGGGAUGGACUCGCGGCUUAUCCGCUUGUUGGUGGGGUAGUGGCUUACCAAGGCUUUGACGGGUAGCCGGCCUGAGAGGGUGACCGGCCACAUUGGGACUGAGAUACGGCCCAGACUCCUACGGGAGGCAGCAGUGGGGAAUAUUGCACAAUGGGCGGAAGCCUGAUGCAGCAACGCCGCGUGCGGGAUGACGGCCUUCGGGUUGUAAACCGCUUUCGCCUGUGACGAAGCGUGAGUGACGGUAAUGGGUAAAGAAGCACCGGCUAACUACGUG
This 468-nucleotide ribosomal RNA is filed under the name uncultured bacterium. RNAcentral's name for it is "partial 16S ribosomal RNA". It matches the Rfam family "Bacterial small subunit ribosomal RNA", at positions 28 to 507 of the family's 1533-position model. The record is from RNAcentral.